CUGGGUGGAUUAGUGGCGAACGGGUGAGUAACACGUGAGUAACCUGCCCUUAACUCUGGGAUAAGCCUGGGAAACUGGGUCUAAUACCGGAUAGGAGCGUCCACCGCAUGGUGGGUGUUGGAAAGAUUUAUCGGUUUUGGAUGGACUCGCGGCCUAUCAGCUUGUUGGUGAGGUAAUGGCUCACCAAGGCGACGACGGGUAGCCGGCCUGAGAGGGUGACCGGCCACACUGGGACUGAAACACGGCCCAGACUCCUACGGGAGGCAGCAGUGGGGAAUAUUGCACAAUGGGCGCAAGCCUGAUGCAGCGACGCCGCGUGAGGGAUGACGGCCUUCGGGUUGUAAACCUCUUUCAGUAGGGAAGAAGCGAAAGUGACGGUACCUGCAGAAGAAGGACCGGCUAACUACGUGCCAACAGCCGCGGUAAUACGUAGGGUGCGAGCGUUAUCCGGAAUUAUUGGGCGUAAAGAGCUCGUAGGCGGUUUGUCGCGUCUGUCGUGAAAGUCCGGGGCUUAACCCCGGAUCUGCGGUGGGUACGGGCAGACUAGAGUGCAUAGGGGAGACUGGAAUUCCUGGUGUACGGUGGAAUGCGCAGAUAUCGGGAGGAACACCGAUGGCGAACGCUGUCUCUGGGCUGUACUGACGCUGAGGAGCGAAAGCUGGGGAGCGAACAGGAUUAGAUACCCUGGUAGUCCUGCCGUAUACGUUGGGCACUAGUGUGGGGACAUUCCACGGUUUCCGCGCCCUAGCUAACGCAUUAAUG
This is a ribosomal RNA of 762 nucleotides. It matches the Rfam family "Bacterial small subunit ribosomal RNA", at positions 83 to 866 of the family's 1533-position model.